UCGGGAAUUGUGGGCAAUGGGCGAAAGCCUGACCCAGCAACGCCGCGUGAAGGAUGAAAUCCUUCGGGAUGUAAACUUCGCAAGAACGGGAAGAAUAAGUAAGAGUUAAUAUCUCUUACGAUGACGGUACUGUUUGUAAGCUCCGGCUAACUCCGUGCCAGCAGCCGCGGUAAUACGUAGGGUGCAAGCGUUAAUCGGAAUUACUGGGCGUAAAGCGUGCGCAGGCGGUUUUGUAAGUCUGUCGUGAAAUCCCCGGGCUCAACCUGGGAAUUGCGAUGGAGACUGCAAGGCUAGAAUCUGGCAGAGGGGGGUAGAAUUCCACGUGUAGCAGUGAAAUGCGUAGAGAUGUGGAGGAACACCGAUGGCGAAGGCAGCCCCCUGGGUCAAGAUUGACGCUCAUGCACGAAAGCGUGGGGAGCAAAC
This 423-nucleotide ribosomal RNA is filed under the name uncultured bacterium. RNAcentral describes it as "bacterial SSU rRNA". It matches the Rfam family "Bacterial small subunit ribosomal RNA", at positions 355 to 773 of the family's 1533-position model. The record is from RNAcentral.